This 253-nucleotide ribosomal RNA is filed under the name uncultured bacterium. RNAcentral's name for it is "partial 16S ribosomal RNA". It matches the Rfam family "Bacterial small subunit ribosomal RNA", at positions 524 to 776 of the family's 1533-position model. The record is from RNAcentral.
UACGAAGGGGGCUAGCGUUGUUCGGAAUUACUGGGCGUAAAGGGCGCGUAGGCGGCGUGUCAAGUCAGGCGUGAAAGCCCCGGGCUCAACCUGGGAACCGCGCUUGAGACUGGCAUGCUCGAGUUCGGGAGAGGAUGGUGGAAUUCCCGGUGUAGCGGUGAAAUGCGCAGAGAUCGGGAGGAACACCCGUAGCGAAGGCGGCACUCUGGGCCGGUACUGACGCUGAGGAGCGAAAGCGUGGGGAGCAAACAGG